CAGUAGCCACGGUAAUACGGAGGGAGCUAGCGUUGUUCGGAAUUACUGGGCGUAAAGCGCACGUAGGCGGCUUUGUAAGUUAGAGGUGAAAGCCUGGAGCUCAACUCCAGAAUUGCCUUUAAGACUGCAUCGCUUGAAUCCAGGAGAGGUGAGUGGAAUUCCGAGUGUAGAGGUGAAAUUCGUAGAUAUUAGCUAGAACACCAGUGGCGAAGGUGGCUCUCUGGACUGUAACUGACGCUGAGGCGCGAAAGCGUGGGGAGCAAACAGGAUUAGAUACCCCCGUAGUCCCUGUCUCUUAUAC
Molecule: ribosomal RNA, 301 nt
Filed under: uncultured bacterium
Lineage: Bacteria
Description: partial 16S ribosomal RNA
Rfam family: Bacterial small subunit ribosomal RNA
Source: RNAcentral